AGAUCAGGUACUUCCUUAGUCUGU
RNAcentral lists this non-coding RNA (24 nucleotides) under Arabidopsis thaliana (thale cress). The record is from RNAcentral. Lineage: Eukaryota; Viridiplantae; Streptophyta; Magnoliopsida; Brassicales; Brassicaceae.